GUGGGGAAUAUUGGACAAUGGGCGCAAGCCUGAUCCAGCCAUGCCGCGUGUGUGAAGAAGGUCUUCGGAUUGUAAAGCACUUUAAGUUGGGAGGAAGGGCAGUAAGUUAAUACCUUGCUGUUUUGACGUUACCGACAGAAUAAGCACCGGCUAACUUCGUGCCAGCAGCCGCGGUAAUACGAAGGGUGCAAGCGUUAAUCGGAAUUACUGGGCGUAAAGCGCGCGUAGGUGGUUCGUUAAGUUGGAUGUGAAAGCCCCGGGCUCAACCUGGGAACUGCAUCCAAAACUGGCGAGCUAGAGUACGGUAGAGGGUGGUGGAAUUUCCUGUGUAGCGGUGAAAUGCGUAGAUAUAGGAAGGAACACCAGUGGCGAAGGCGACCACCUGGACUGAUACUGACACUGAGGUGCGAAAGCGUGGGGAGCAAACAGGAUUAGAAACCCUAGUAGUCC
RNAcentral lists this ribosomal RNA (450 nucleotides) under uncultured bacterium. RNAcentral's name for it is "bacterial SSU rRNA". It matches the Rfam family "Bacterial small subunit ribosomal RNA", at positions 354 to 796 of the family's 1533-position model. The record is from RNAcentral.